Molecule: ribosomal RNA, 253 nt
Filed under: uncultured bacterium
Lineage: Bacteria
Also listed under: 1 other name
Description: partial 16S ribosomal RNA
Rfam family: Bacterial small subunit ribosomal RNA
Source: RNAcentral
UACGUAGGGUGCAAGCGUUAAUCGGAAUUAUUGGGCGUAAAGGGUGCGCAGGCGGUAUUGUAAGUCAGAUGUGAAAGCCCCGGGCUUAACCUGGGAAUUGCGUUUGAAACUGCAAUGCUAGAGUGUGAUAGAGGAAAGUGGAAUUCCAUGUGUAGCAGUGAAAUGCGUAGAGAUGUGGAAGAACACCAAUGGCGAAGGCAGCUUUCUGGAUUAACACUGACGCUCAUGCACGAAAGCGUGGGGAGCAAACAGG